UGGCUCAGUGGUGGAGUGCUUGCCUUGCAUGCAUGAGGCCCUGGGUUCGAUUCCCCAG
Non-coding RNA from Dipodomys ordii (Ord's kangaroo rat), 58 nucleotides. Lineage: Eukaryota; Metazoa; Chordata; Mammalia; Rodentia; Heteromyidae. The record is from Rfam.